UACGGAGGGUGCAAGCGUUAUUCGGAAUUACUGGGCGUAAAGGGCGCGUAGGCGGCCUCUUAAGUCGGAUGUGAAAGCCCGGGGCCUAACCCCGGAAGUGCAUUCGAUACUGGGGGGCUUGAGUAUGGGAGAGGGAAGUGGAAUUCCUGGUGUAGAGGUGAAAUUCGUAGAUAUCAGGAGGAACACCUGUGGCGAAGGCGACUUCCUGGACCAAUACUGACGCUGAGGCGCGAAGGCGUGGGGAGCAAACAGGAUUAGAUACCCUGGUAGUCCACGCAGUAAACGGUGAUCACUAGGUGUAGCGGGUAUUGACCCCUGCUGUGCCGAAGCUAACGCAUUAAGUGAUCCGCCUGGGGAGUACGGCCGCAAGGUUAAA
RNAcentral lists this ribosomal RNA (376 nucleotides) under uncultured bacterium. Its description in RNAcentral is "bacterial SSU rRNA". It matches the Rfam family "Bacterial small subunit ribosomal RNA", at positions 524 to 898 of the family's 1533-position model. The record is from RNAcentral.